GAUGAACGCUGGCGGCGUGCCUAAUACAUGCAAGUCGAGCGAACAGACGAGGAGCUUGCUCCUCUGACGUUAGCGGCGGACGGGUGAGUAACACGUGGAUAACCUACCUAUAAGACUGGGAUAACUUCGGGAAACCGGAGCUAAUACCGGAUAAUAUAUUGAACCGCAUGGUUCAAUAAUGAAAUACGGUUUUUCUGUCACUUAUAGAUGGAUCCGCGCUGCAUUAGCUAGUUGGUAAGGUAACGGCUUACCAAGGCAACGAUGCGUAGCCGACCUGAGAGGGUGAUCGGCCACACUGGAACUGAGACACGGUCCAGACUCCUACGGGAGGCAGCAGUAGGGAAUCUUCCGCAAUGGGCGAAAGCCUGACGGAGCAACGCCGCGUGAGUGAUGAAGGUCUUCGGAUCGUAAAACUCUGUUAUUAGGGAAGAACAAAUGUGUAAGUAACUAUGCACGUCUUGACGGUACCUAAUCAGAAAGCCACGGCUAACUACGUG
Molecule: ribosomal RNA, 497 nt
Filed under: uncultured bacterium
Lineage: Bacteria
Description: partial 16S ribosomal RNA
Rfam family: Bacterial small subunit ribosomal RNA
Source: RNAcentral